GCCUUGGCCGGCAGCUUACACAUGCAAGUCGAGCGGAGAGAGGUAGCUUGCUACCGAUCUUAGCGGCGGACGGGUGAGUAAUGCUUAGGAAUCUGCCUAUUAGUGGGGGACAACAUUUCGAAAGGAAUGCUAAUACCGCAUACGUCCUACGGGAGAAAGCAGGGGAUCUUCGGACCUUGCGCUAAUAGAUGAGCCUAAGUCGGAUUAGCUAGUUGGUGGGGUAAAGGCCUACCAAGGCGACGAUCUGUAGCGGGUCUGAGAGGAUGAUCCGCCACACUGGGACUGAGACACGGCCCAGACUCCUACGGGAGGCAGCAGUGGGGAAUAUUGGACAAUGGGCGCAAGCCUGAUCCAGCCAUGCCGCGUGUGUGAAGAAGGCCUUAUGGUUGUAAAGCACUUUAAGCGAGGAGGAGGCUACUUUAGUUAAUACCUAGAGAUAGUGGACGUUACUCGCAGAAUAAGCACCGGCUAACUCUGUGCCAGCAGCCGCGGUAAUACAGAGGGUGCAAGCGUUAAUCGGAUUUACUGGGCGUAAAGCGCGCGUAGGCGGCUAAUUAAGUCAAAUGUGAAAUCCCCGAGCUUAACUUGGGAAUUGCAUUCGAUACUGGUUAGCUAGAGUGUGGGAGAGGAUGGUAGAAUUCCAGGUGUAGCGGUGAAAUGCGUAGAGAUCUGGAGGAAUACCGAUGGCGAAGGCAGCCAUCUGGCCUAACACUGACGCUGAGGUGCGAAAGCAUGGGGAGCAAACAGGAUUAGAUACCCUGGUAGUCCAUGCCGUAAACGAUGUCUACUAGCCGUUGGGGCCUUUGAGGCUUUAGUGGCGCAGCUAACGCGAUAAGUAGACCGCCUGGGGAGUACGGUCGCAAGACUAAAACUCAAAUGAAUUGACGGGGGCCCGCACAAGCGGUGGAGCAUGUGGUUUAUUUCGAUGCAACGCGAAGAACCUUACCUGGGCCUUUGACAUAGUAAGACCUUUUCAGAGAUGGGAUUGGUGCCUUUCGGGAACUUACCAUACAGGUGCUGCAUGGCUGUCGUCAGCUCGUGUCGUGGAGAUGUUGGGUUAGUUCCCGCCACGAACGCAACCCUUUUUCCUUUAUUGCCACGAGUAUUGCUCGGGAACUUUAAGGAUACUGCCAGUGAACCACCUGGAGAAGGCGGGGAACGACGUCUAGUCUAUCUGCGCCUCUUCCGU
This 1189-nucleotide ribosomal RNA is filed under the name Acinetobacter sp. RNAcentral's name for it is "bacterial SSU rRNA". It matches the Rfam family "Bacterial small subunit ribosomal RNA", at positions 33 to 1207 of the family's 1533-position model. Lineage: Bacteria; Pseudomonadati; Pseudomonadota; Gammaproteobacteria; Moraxellales; Moraxellaceae. The record is from RNAcentral.